RNAcentral lists this long non-coding RNA (4139 nucleotides) under Xyrichtys novacula (pearly razorfish). Lineage: Eukaryota; Metazoa; Chordata; Actinopteri; Labriformes; Labridae. The record is from RNAcentral.
GUUGGAAAAAAGUUCCUACAAAGGUUUUGGACAGUGAUUUGAACCCUAACGCCAAAAAACUUAAACCUUACCCUAGCCUUAAAAUCUAAUACCCAGGUAUUACAUUCAGGAAGCCCGUAAACCCCAAAUAUAUAUUUUUUUAUUUUUCAUUUUUUUUGGUCUUACUAACUCCAAAAGGUUGGAAAAGAGUUCCUACAAAGGUUUUGGACAGUGAUUUUAAUCCUAACGCCAAAAAACUUAAACCUUACCAUAGCCCCAUAACCUAAUACCCGGGUAUUACUUUUAGGAAGCCUGAACACCCCAAAUAUUUUUUUUUUCAUUUUACAUUUUUGUUGGUGUAACUAACUCCAAAAGGUUCGAAAAGAGUUCCUACAAAGGUUUUGGACAGUGAUUUUAACCCUAACGCCAAAAAACUUAAACCUUACCAUAGCCCCAUAACCUAAUACCGGGGUAUUACUUUUAGGAAGCCUGAACACCCCAAAUAUUUUUUUUUUCAUUUUUCAUUUUUUUUUUUUGGUCUAAGUAACUCCAAAAGGUUGGAAAAGAGUUCCUACAAAGGUUUUGGACAGUGAUUUUAACCCUAACGCCAAAAACUUUAAACCUUACCAUAGCCCCAUAACCUAAUACCCGGGUAUUACUUUUAGGAAGCCAGAACACCCCAAAUAUUUUUUUUUCAUUUUUCAUUUUUUUUUUGGUCUAACUAACUCCAAAAGGUUGGGAAAGAGUUCCUACAAAGGUUUUGGACAGUGAUUUUAACCCUAACGCCAAAAACCUUAAACCUUACCAUAGCCCCAAAACCUAAUACCGGGGUAUUACUUUUAGGAAGCCUGAACACCCCAAAUAUUUUUUUUUCAUUUUUCAUUUUUUUUUGGUCUAACUAACUCCAAAAGGUUAGAAAAGAGUUCCUACAAAGGUUUUGGACAGUGAUUUUAACCCUAACGCCAAAAACCUUAAACUUUUCCCUAGUCCCAAAACCUAAUACCCGGGUAUUACUUUCAGGGAGCCCGAAAACCCCCAAUAAUUUUUUUUUCUUUUUUCAUUUUUUUUUUGGUCUAAGUAACUCCAAAAGUUUGGAAAAGAGUUCCUACAAAGGUUUUGGACAGUGAUUUUAACCCUAACGCCAUUAAGCUUAAACCUUACCAUAAGCUUUAAAUCUAAUACCCGGUUAUUACCACAGGAAGCCCGAAAACCCCAAAUAUUUUUUUUUCCUUUUUCAUAUUUUUUUGGUCUAAGUAACUCCAAAAGGUUGGAAAAGAGUUCCUACAAAGGUUUUGGACAGUGAUUUUAAACCUAAUGCCAAAAACCUUAAACCAUACCAUAGCCCCAUAACCUAAUACCCGGGUAUUACCUUCACGAAGCCCGAAAACCCCAAACAUUUUUUUUUCAUUUUACAUUUUUUUUUGGUCUAACUAACUCCAAAAGGUUGGGAAAGAGUUCCUACAAAGGUUUUGGACAGCGAUUUUAACCCUAAUGCCAAAAACUUUAAACCUUACCAUAACCCCAUAACCUAAUACCCGGGUAUUACUUUUAGUAAGCCUGAACACCCCAAAUAUUUUUUUUUCAUUUUUCUUUUUUUUUUUUGGUCUAACUAACUCCAAAAGUUUGGAAAAGAGUUCCUACAAAGGUUUUGGACAGUGAUUUUAAACCUAAUGCCAAAAACCUUAAACCUUACCAUAGCCCCAUAACCUAAUACCUGGGUAUUACCUUCAGGAAGCCCGAACACCCCAAAUAUUUUUUUUUCCUUUUUCAUAUUUUUUGGUCUAAGUAACUCCAAAAGGUUGGAAAAGAGUUCCUACAAAGGUUUUGGACAGUGAUUUUAACCCUAACGCCAAAAACCUUAAACCUUACCAUAGCCCCAAAACCUAAUACCGGGGUAUUACUUUUAGGAAGCCUGAACACCCCAAAUAUUUUUUUUUCAUUUUUCAUUUUUUUUUGGUCUAACUAACUCCAAAAGGUUAGAAAAGAGUUCCUACAAAGGUUUUGGACAGUGAUUUUAACCCUAACGCCAAAAACCUUAAACUUUUCCCUAGUCCCAAAACCUAAAACCCGGGUAUUACUUUCAGGGAGCCCGAAAACCCCCAAUAAUUUUUUUUUCUUUUUUCAUUUUUUUUUUUGGUCUAAGUAACUCCAAAAGUUUGGAAAAGAGUUCCUACAAAGGUUUUGGACAGUGAUUUUAACCCUAACGCCAUUAAGCUUAAACCUUACCAUAACCUUUAAAUCUAAUACCCGGGUAUUACCACAGGAAGCCCGAAAACCCCAAAUAUUUUUUUUUCCUUUUUCAUAUUUUUUUGGUCUAAGUAACUCCAAAAGGUUGGAAAAGAGUUCCUACAAAGGUUUUGGACAGUGAUUUUAACCCUAACGCCAAAAACCUUAAACCUUACCAUAGCCCCAUAACCUAAUACCGGGGUAUUACUUUUAGGAAGCCCGAAAACCCCAAAUAUUUGUUUUUCAUUUUUCAUUUUUUUUUGGUCUAAGUAACUCCAAAAGGUUCGAAAAGAGUUCCUACAAAGGUUUUGGACAGUGAUUUUAACCCUAACGCCAUAAAACUUAAACCUUACCCUAGCCUUAAAAUCUAAUACCCGGGUAUUACAUUCAGGAAGCCCGAAAACCCCAAACAUUUUUUUUUCAUUUUUCAUUUUUUUUUUUGGUCUAACUAACUCCAAAAGGUUGGGAAAGAGUUUCUACAAAGGUUUUGGACAGUCAUUUUAAACCUAAUGCCAAAAACCUUAAACCUUACCAUAGCCCCAUAACCUAAUACCUGGGUAUUACCUUCAGGAAGCCCGAACACCCCAAAUAUUUUUUUUUCCUUUUUCAUAUUUUUUGGUCUAAGUAACUCCAAAAGGUUGGAAAAGAGUUCCUACAAAGGUUUUGGACAGUGAUUUUAACCCUAACGCCAAAAACCUUAAACUUUUCCCUAGUCCCAAAACCUAAUACCCGGGUAUUACUUUCAGGAAGCCCGAAAACCCCCAAUAAUUUUUUUUUCUUUUUUCAUUUUUUUUUUUGGUCUAAGUAACUCCAAAAGUUUGGAAAAGAGUUCCUACAAAGGUUUUGGACAGUGAUUUUAACCCUAACGCCAUUAAGCUUAAACCUUACCAUAGCCUUUAAAUCUAAUACCCGGGUAUUACCACAGGAAGCCCGAAAACCCCAAAUAUUUUUUUUUCCUUUUUCAUAUUUUUUUGGUCUAAGUAACUCCAAAAGGUUGGAAAAGAGUUCCUACAAAGGUUUUGGACAGUGAUUUUAACCCUAACGCCAUAAAACUUAAACCUUACCCUAGCCUUAAAAUCUAAUACCCGGGUAUUACAUUCAGGAAGCCCGAAAACCCCAAACAUUUUUUUUUCAUUUUUCAUUUUUUUUUUUGGUCUAACUAACUCCAAAAGGUUGGGAAAGAGUUUCUACAAAGGUUUUGGACAGUGAUUUUAAACCUAAUGCCAAAACGUUAAACCUUACCAUAGCCCCAUAACCUAAUACCCGGGUAUUACUUUUAGGAAACCUGAACACUCCAAAUGUUUUUUUUUUCAUUUUUCAUUUUUUUUGGUCUAACUAACUCCAAAAGGUUGGAAAAGAGUUCUUACAAAGGUUUUGGACAGUGAUUUUAAACCUAAUGCCAAAACGUUAAACCUUACCAUAGCCCCAUAACCUAAUAACCGGGUAUUACUUUUAGGAAGCCUGAACACCCCAAAUAUUUUUUUUUCAUUUUUCAUUUUUUUUUUGGUCUAAGUAACUUCAAAAGGUUGGAAAAGAGUUCCUACAAAUGUUUUGGACAGUGAUUUUAACCCUAACGCCAUAAAACUUAAACCUUACCAUAGCCCCAUAACCUAAUACCCGGGUAUUACUUUUAGGAAGCCUGAACACCCCAAAUAUUUUUUUUUCAUUUUUCUUUUUUUUUGGUCUAACUAACUCCAAAAGGAUGGAAAAGAGUUCCUACAAAGGUUUUGGACAGUAAUUUUAACCCUAAUGCCAAAAAACUUAAACCUUACCCUGGCCUUAAAAUCUAAUACCCGGGUAUUACAUUAAGGAAGCCCGGAAACCCCAAAUUUUUUUUUUUCAUUUUUCAUUCUUUUUUUGGUCUAACUAACUCCAAAAGGUUGGAAAGAGUUCCUACAAAGGUUUUGGACAGUGAUUUUAAACCUAAUGCCAAA